This 506-nucleotide ribosomal RNA is filed under the name uncultured bacterium. RNAcentral describes it as "partial 16S ribosomal RNA". It matches the Rfam family "Bacterial small subunit ribosomal RNA", at positions 29 to 523 of the family's 1533-position model. The record is from RNAcentral.
AGUGAACGCUGGCGGUAGGCCUAACACAUGCAAGUCGAACGGCAGCACAGAGGAGCUUGCUCCUUGGGUGGCGAGUGGCGGACGGGUGAGGAAUACAUCGGAAUCUACUCUGUCGUGGGGGAUAACGUAGGGAAACUUACGCUAAUACCGCAUACGACCUACGGGUGAAAGCCGGGGAUCUUCGGACCUUGCGCGAUUGAGUGAGCCGAUGUCGGAUUAGCGAGUUGGCGGGGUAAAGGCCCACCAAGGCGACGAUCCGUAGCUGGUCUGAGAGGAUGAUCAGCCACACUGGAACUGAGACACGGUCCAGACUCCUACGGGAGGCAGCAGUGGGGAAUAUUGGACAAUGGGCGCAAGCCUGAUCCAGCCAUACCGCGUGGGUGAAGAAGGCCUUCGGGUUGUAAAGCCCUUUUGUUGGGAAAGAAAUCCAUCUGGUUAAUACCCGGGUGGGAUGACGGUACCCAAAGAAUAAGCACCGGCUAACUUCGUGCCAGCCGCCGCGGUAA